RNAcentral lists this ribosomal RNA (420 nucleotides) under bacterium. RNAcentral's name for it is "partial 16S ribosomal RNA". It matches the Rfam family "Bacterial small subunit ribosomal RNA", at positions 355 to 776 of the family's 1533-position model. The record is from RNAcentral.
UGGGGGAUAUUGCACAAUGGGCGAAAGCCUGAUGCAGCGACGCCGCGUGGGGGAUGAAGGCUUUCGGGUUGUAAACCUCUUUCGCUAUCGAACAAGGCCCGCUUAGGGUGGGUUGAGGGUAGGUGGAGAAGAAGCGCCGGCUAACUACGUGCCAGCAGCCGCGGUAAUACAGAGGGCGCGAGCGUUGUCCGGAAUUAUUGGGCGUAAAGGGCUUGUAGGCGGCUUGUUGCGCCUGCUGUGAAAACGCGGGGCUUAACUUCGCGCGUGCAGUGGGUACGGGCAGGCUUGAGUGUGGUAGGGGUGACUGGAAUUCCAGGUGUAGCGGUGGAAUGCGCAGAUAUCUGGAGGAACACCGAUGGCGAAGGCAGGUCACUGGGCCAUUACUGACGCUGAGGAGCGAAAGCAUGGGUAGCGAACAGG